This 1272-nucleotide ribosomal RNA is filed under the name Acetes chinensis (northern mauxia shrimp). RNAcentral's name for it is "16S ribosomal RNA". The stretch from base 650 to 1272 matches the Rfam family "Archaeal large subunit ribosomal RNA", at positions 1423 to 2881 of the family's 2987-position model. Lineage: Eukaryota; Metazoa; Arthropoda; Malacostraca; Decapoda; Sergestidae. The record is from RNAcentral.
AAGUUAUUGUAACUUGCUUAUACGAUAUUACUUUUUUUUGAUUAUAAAAAUAAUUUAUUGUUAAAAUAAAAAUAAAGUAAAAUAUCUUGAAAUAUAAUAAAAUAUUGUAAGCUAUAGUAAAUAAAUACUGUAAAGGAAAGUUUAAAUAUUGAUUAAAUUAGAUAAAUUUAUAGUAAUAUUAAAUUUAUGUACCUUGUGUAUCAGGAAAAACCAAAAUUUUUUUAUAAUUUAAAAAUUCUCGAAAAAAAAAGAGCUAAAUAUAAAAUAAAGUUAUCGUAUUAAAGAUAUUAACAAUUUAUAUUUAGUGGCGAAACACUAGUCGAUUUUUUAUAUCUAGUUGUAAAUGAAUUGAAUUAAAUUCACUGUUUAAUUAUAUCUUGAAUUAAAUUGUAAGAAAAGGAGGGAAAAGCUUCUUUUUCUAAUAUAAGUAAACUGUAAUUAUUUUAUAAUUUUUAAUAUAAAACUAGGCUUACAAGCAGCUAUGUUAAUAAAGCGUUUUAGCUAAUUUAAAUAAAAAUAUAAUUUUUAUUAUAUAUUCAGUUUAAAAGUAAUUUACUUAAAAAAAAAAUUUUUUUUUUUUGUAAAAAUGGUUCUAUUAGUAGAUUUUAAUGUGUAUUUUCUUUAAUUUAAUAAUUUUGAAAUUUUAAAUCGUUAUCAUAUAAAAUUAAGGAACUCGGCAAAUUUAUUCUUUUGCCUGUUUAUCAAAAACAUCUCUUUAUGAUUAUAGUUAUAUAAAGUAUAGCCUGCUCACUGACUUAUAUAGUUAAAGAGCCGCGGUAUUCUGACCGUGCGAAGGUAGCAUAAUAAUUAGCCUUUUAAUUGAAGGCUUGUAUGAAUGGUUGUACAAAAAGAAAGCUGUCUCAGUUUUAAAAAUUAAACUUAACUUUUAAGUGAAAAGGCUUAAAUAAAUUAGAGGGACGAUAAGACCCUAUAAAGCUUUACUGUUUAAAUUUUUUGAUAUUAGUAUUAAAUGAUCCUCUAAUAAAGAUUAAAAAUUUAAGUUACUUUAGGGAUAACAGCGUAAUCUACCUUGAGAGUCCAAAUCGACAGGAAGGGUUGCGACCUCGAUGUUGAAUUAAAAUUCCUUUUUAAUGUAGUCGUUAAAAUAAGGAGGUCUGUUCGACCUUUAAAAUUUUACAUGAUUUGAGUUCAGACCGGCGUGAGCCAGGUCGGUUUCUAUCUUCUAUUAUAUAUUAAACUGUCUUAGUACGAAAGGAUUAGACAGUUAGAAUAAUUUUAUUAUUAUGAAUCUUGUUAAUAUAGUUUACAUCA